ACCGUGGCUUCGAUUGUUACUGUGGGAACCGGAGGUAACAGUCUACAGCCAUGGUCG
Molecule: precursor RNA, 57 nt
Filed under: Microcebus murinus (gray mouse lemur)
Lineage: Eukaryota; Metazoa; Chordata; Mammalia; Primates; Cheirogaleidae
Description: precursor contig_230940_1990 miRNA
Rfam family: mir-132 microRNA precursor family
Source: RNAcentral